Molecule: ribosomal RNA, 500 nt
Filed under: uncultured bacterium
Lineage: Bacteria
Description: bacterial SSU rRNA
Rfam family: Bacterial small subunit ribosomal RNA
Source: RNAcentral
GAUGAACGCUAGCGGCAGGCCUAACACAUGCAAGUCGAGCGGUAGGGGACUUCGGUUCCUGAGAGCGGCGCACGGGUGCGUAACGCGUAUGCAACCUACCCUUUACAGGGGAAUAGCCCGUCGAAAGGCGGAUUAAUGCCCCAUGGUUCCUUUGAGAGGCAUCUCUUGGAGGGUAAAGAUUUAUCGGUAAAGGAUGGGCAUGCGUGCCAUUAGCUAGAUGGUGGGGUAACGGCCCACCAUGGCGACGAUGGCUAGGGGUUCUGAGAGGAAGGCCCCCCACACUGGGACUGAGACACGGCCCAGACUCCUACGGGAGGCAGCAGUGAGGAAUAUUGGUCAAUGGGCGCAAGCCUGAACCAGCCAUGCCGCGUGCGGGAAGAAGGCGCUACGCGUCGUAAACCGCUUUUGUCCGGGGGUAACCGCAGGGACGUGUCCCUGCCUGCAAGUACCGGACGAAUAAGGGUCGGCUAACUCCGUGCCAGCAGCCGCGGUAAUACGGA